Molecule: transfer RNA, 74 nt
Filed under: Rugosimonospora africana
Lineage: Bacteria; Bacillati; Actinomycetota; Actinomycetes; Micromonosporales; Micromonosporaceae
Description: tRNA-Pro
Rfam family: tRNA
About the family: Transfer RNA (tRNA) molecules are approximately 80 nucleotides in length. Their secondary structure includes four short double-helical elements and three loops (D, anti-codon, and T loops).
Source: RNAcentral
CCGGGGCGAGGGAGCUGGUUGACCCGCCUGGUUUGGGACCAGGACACACCGGGUUCGAUUCCCGGGCCCCGGAC